GGCAGUCCGCCGCCGCGGUAAUACCGGCGGCCCGAGUGGCGGUCACUAUUAUUGGGCUUAAAGCGUCCGUAGCCGGGUUUGGAAGUCCUCCGGGAAAUCUGGCCGCUUAACGGUCAGAAUGCCGGAGGAUACUCCCAGCCUAGGGAGCGGGAGAGGCCGAGGGUAUUCCCGGAGUAGGGGUGAAAUCCUAUAAUCCCGGGAGGACCACCUGUGGCGAAGGCGCUCGGCUGGAACGCGUCCGACGGUGAGGGACGAAGGCCAGGGGAGCAAACCGGAUUAGAUACCCGGGUAGUCCUGGCGGUAAACGAUGCGGACUUUGUGUCGGACAAGCUAUGAGCUUGUCCGGUGCCGGAGGGAAACCGUUAAGUCCGCCGCCUGGGGAGUACGGCCGCAAGGCUGAAACUUAAAGGAAUUGGCGGG
RNAcentral lists this ribosomal RNA (420 nucleotides) under uncultured microorganism. Its description in RNAcentral is "bacterial SSU rRNA". It matches the Rfam family "Archaeal small subunit ribosomal RNA", at positions 454 to 872 of the family's 1478-position model. The record is from RNAcentral.